This 465-nucleotide ribosomal RNA is filed under the name uncultured bacterium. RNAcentral's name for it is "bacterial SSU rRNA". It matches the Rfam family "Bacterial small subunit ribosomal RNA", at positions 339 to 796 of the family's 1533-position model. The record is from RNAcentral.
CUACGGGAGGCAGCAGUGGGGAAUAUUGGACAAUGGGCGCAAGCCUGAUCCAGCAAUGCCGCGUGGGUGAAGACGGCCUGCGGGUUGUAAAGCCCUUUGGGUGGGGAAGAACGGCGGGCGGCGAACAGCGGCCUGUUUUGACAUUACCCACGAAACAAGCACCGGCUAACUCCGUGCCAGCAGCCGCGGUAAUACGGAGGGUGCGAGCGUUAAUCGGAAUUACUGGGCGUAAAGCGUGCGUAGGCGGAUGGGUCAGUCAGCCGUGAAAGCCCCGGGCUCAACCUGGGAACGGCGGUUGAGACGGCCCGUCUUGAGUGGGCUAGAGGACUGUGGAACUCCCGGUGUAGCGGUGAAAUGCGUAGAGAUCGGGAAGAACACCGAUGGCGAAGGCAGCGGUCUGGGGCCACACUGACGCUGAGGCACGAAAGCGUGGGGAGCAAACAGGAUUAGAAACCCUGGUAGUCC